AACCAACAGGGAUUGCCCCAGUAACGGCGAGUGAAGCGGCAACAGCUCAGAUUUGAAAUCUGGCCCCCUUCGGGGUCCGAGUUGUAAUCUGUAGAGGAUGCUUUUGGCGACGCGCCUUCCGAGUCCCCUGGAACGGGGCGCCAGAGAGGGUGAGAGCCCCGUACGGUCGGACGCCGAACCUCUGUAAAGCUCCUUCGACGAGUCGAGUAGUUUGGGAAUGCUGCUCAAAAUGGGAGGUAAAUUUCUUCUAAAGCUAAAUACCGGCCAGAGACCGAUAGCGCACAAGUAGAGUGAUCGAAAGAUGAAAAGCACUUUGAAAAGAGGGUUAAAUAGCACGUGAAAUUGCUGAAAGGGAAGCGCUUGUGACCAGACUUGCGCCCGGUUGAUCAUCCAGCGUUCUCGCUGGUGCACUCUGCCGGGCUCAGGCCAGCAUCGGCUCCCCCAGGGGGAUAAAGGUCGCGGGAACGUAGCUCUCUCCGGGGAGUGUUAUAGCCCGCGGCGGAAUACCCUUAGGGGGGGUCGAGGCCCGCGUUCGCAAGGAUGCUGGCGUAAUGGUCACCAGCGACCCGUCUUGAAACACGGACCAAGGAGUCAAGCAUUAGGGCGAGUCUUUGGGUGUAAAACCCGCAGGCGCAAUGAAAGUGAACGGAGGUGAGAGCUUCGGCGCAUCAUCGACCGAUCCUGAUGUUCUCGGAUGGAUUUGAGUAAGAGCCUUACCGCUUGGACCCGAAAGAUGGUGAACUAUGCCUGAAUAGGGUGAAGCCAGAGGAAACUCUGGUGGAGGCUCGCAGCGGUUCUGACGUGCAAAUCGAUCGUCAAAUUUGGGCAUGGGGGCGAAAGACUAAUCGAACCAUCUA
This 857-nucleotide ribosomal RNA is filed under the name Distoseptispora sp. WD-2020c. Its description in RNAcentral is "partial large subunit ribosomal RNA". It matches the Rfam family "Eukaryotic large subunit ribosomal RNA", at positions 63 to 946 of the family's 3401-position model. The record is from RNAcentral. Lineage: Eukaryota; Fungi; Ascomycota; Sordariomycetes; Distoseptisporaceae.